RNAcentral lists this ribosomal RNA (466 nucleotides) under uncultured bacterium. RNAcentral describes it as "partial 16S ribosomal RNA". It matches the Rfam family "Bacterial small subunit ribosomal RNA", at positions 28 to 507 of the family's 1533-position model. The record is from RNAcentral.
GACGAACGCUGGCGGCGCGCCUAACACAUGCAAGUCGAACGAGCGAGAGAGAGCUUGCUUUCUCGAGCGAGUGGCGAACGGGUGAGUAACGCGUGAGGAACCUGCCUCAAAGAGUGGGACAACAGUUGGAAACGGCUGCUAAUACCGCAUAAGCCCACGGGUCGGCAUCGACCAGAGGGAAAAGGAGCAAUCCGCUUUGAGAUGGCCUCGCGUCCGAUUAGCUAGUUGGUGAGGUAAUGGCCCACCAAGGCGACGAUCGGUAGCCGGACUGAGAGGUUGAACGGCCACAUUGGGACUGAGACACGGCCCAGACUCCUACGGGAGGCAGCAGUGGGGAAUAUUGCACAAUGGGGGAAACCCUGAUGCAGCGACGCCGCGUGGAGGAAGAAGGUCUUCGGAUUGUAAACUCCUGUUGUUGGGGAAGAUGAUGACGGUACCCAACAAGGAAGUGACGGCUAACUACGUG